GAUGAACGCUAGCUACAGGCUUAACACAUGCAAGUCGAGGGGAAACGACAUCGAAAGCUUGCUUUUGAUGGGCGUCGACCGGAGCACGGGCGAGUAACGCGUAUCCAACCUGCCCAUAACUUGGGAAUAACCUCGCGAAAGUAAGACUAAUACCCAAUGAUAUCCCACGAAGGCAUCGGAAUGGGAUUAAAGAGUUAUCGGUGAUGGAGUGGGAUGCGUCUGCUUAGCUUGUUGGCGGGGUAACGGCCCACCAAGGCAACGAUCAGUAGGGGUUCUGAGAGGAAGGUCCCCCACAUCUGAGCCGAGGCCCGGUCCCAAACCCUACGGGGGGCAGCCGUGUAGUAUAUUAGUCGAUGGGCCCGGGCCUGAACCAGCCGAGUAUCUUGCCGAAGUCCGGCCCUAUUGGUUGUAAACUGCUUUUAUAAGGGAAUAAAGUGGGUAACGUGUGACUUUUUGCAUUUACCUUAUGAAUAAGGACCGGCUAAUUCCGUG
This 492-nucleotide ribosomal RNA is filed under the name uncultured bacterium. RNAcentral describes it as "partial 16S ribosomal RNA". It matches the Rfam family "Bacterial small subunit ribosomal RNA", at positions 28 to 507 of the family's 1533-position model. The record is from RNAcentral.